Molecule: non-coding RNA, 58 nt
Organism: Salmo salar (Atlantic salmon)
Lineage: Eukaryota; Metazoa; Chordata; Actinopteri; Salmoniformes; Salmonidae
Source: Rfam
UGGCUCAGUUGGUAGAGCAUGGUGUUUGCAACACCAGGGGUGUGGGUUCAAUUCCCAC